Molecule: transfer RNA, 72 nt
Filed under: Araneus ventricosus
Lineage: Eukaryota; Metazoa; Arthropoda; Arachnida; Araneae; Araneidae
Description: tRNA-Glu
Source: RNAcentral
UUCUCACACCGGGAAUUGAGCCCGGGCCUCCUGGGUGAGAGCCAGGUAUCCUAACCACUAGACCAUAUAGGA